RNAcentral lists this long non-coding RNA (253 nucleotides) under Brassica napus (rape). Its description in RNAcentral is "long non-coding RNA (BNAP_LNC002838)". The record is from RNAcentral. Lineage: Eukaryota; Viridiplantae; Streptophyta; Magnoliopsida; Brassicales; Brassicaceae.
UAACAGAUCGAACGUCUAAUCGGAAUUAAAUGCGAGACGACAACUCAUAUUUACUUCGACCCUAUUCAGGAAAACUCGAAACGAAACAUUCAUCAUAUAAAUAACCACGUAAAGCGGUAAGGGGAUUCAAAGCCACCAACGGCCAGUCCCGAUAAGCAAUAAAAACGACCAAAACAGUCCCAUACAAAUCUCUCGGCCACACUCGGCCAUAAACAUAAGACAGAAAGACGAGCAUCUUUCUUUCGAUAACUAC